AGAGUUUGAUCAUGGCUCAGAACGAACGCUGGCGGCGUGGAUAAGACAUGCAAGUCGAACGAUCACUAUUGGGUAGCAAUAUUCGGUAGUGGGAGUGGUGCAAGGGUGCGUAACACGUGGGUAAUUUGCCGUAAAGUCUGGGAUAACUUGCUGAAAGGCGAGCUAAUACCGGAUGUGAUUGCUGGAGGGCAUCCUCUGGCACUUAAAGUCGGGGACCGUAAGGCCUGACACUUUUCGAUAAGCCCGCGGCCUAUCAGCUAGUUGGUGAGGUAACGGCUCACCAAGGCUAAGACGGGUAGCUGGUCUGAGAGGACGACCAGCCUCACUGGAACUGAGACACGGUCCAGACACCUACGGGUGGCAGCAGUCGAGAAUUUUUCUCAAUGGGGGAAACCCUGAAGGAGCGACGCCGCGUGGGGGAUGAAUGGCUUCGGCCCGUAAACCCCUGUCAUUUGCGAUCAAACCUUACGACCUAACACGUCGUAAGCUGAUAGUAGCGAAGAGA
This 505-nucleotide ribosomal RNA is filed under the name uncultured Verrucomicrobiales bacterium. RNAcentral describes it as "bacterial SSU rRNA". It matches the Rfam family "Bacterial small subunit ribosomal RNA", at positions 8 to 486 of the family's 1533-position model. The record is from RNAcentral. Lineage: Bacteria; Pseudomonadati; Verrucomicrobiota; Verrucomicrobiia; Verrucomicrobiales.